Long non-coding RNA from Homo sapiens (human), 1689 nucleotides. RefSeq annotates it as long independently transcribed non-coding RNA 2241. The record is from RefSeq and is marked validated. NCBI's taxonomy places the organism in Eukaryota, Metazoa, Chordata, Mammalia, Primates, Hominidae. The transcript is spliced from 12 exons.
AGCUGCCAUGUACUAGGCCACGUGGCAAGGGCCUGGUUGGGGACCUCCAGGGGUUGAGAGCAUCCUCUGGACAACAUGGAAAAAGAAAAUGAAAAUGGUGACCUCAGCCCUAUAGCUAGAAGGAAUUGAAUCCUGUCAACAACGAUACUCAUCACUCACUGCAGAUGUUACUUUAAGACAUUCUGGAGCAGCGUCAUGUGCAGGAGAAAAUAGUAUCAUCUCAGCCUUCUAUGAAAUCAAGGCAAUAUGUGCGUAGUGCCUCCGCCCAUCUCUCUCUUGCUCCUGGUCUCAUCGUGACGGGCCUGGUCCUGCCUCACUUUAUGCCACGACUAAGAGCUCCCUGAGGCCUCUCCAGAAGCAGAUAUCACUAUGCUUCCUACACAGCCUGCAGAACCGAACAAUAAGGAAGUGAGUGCUUUUGUAAUUCCUGAACAACUGUGUCUUACACUUACUAAGUUCUCUUGCCUGCCACCAUGUAAGAUAUGCUUUUACUCUUCCGCCUUCCACCGUGACUGUGAGGCCUCCCCAGCCAUGUGAAACUGCCUUUGAGCUUAUACUGAAUUAUACCACCAGCUUUCCUAGGUCUUGAAGCUUACAGACAGCAGAUCUUGGGACUUCUCAGGCACCAUAAUCAAUCAUAGAUAAAUGAUCCAAUGAUUCGGAACUUGAAAAGUGGUAGCUUUAUGAAUUCUCCUUAAGAAGAAACCUGUGCCCUGAUCUUGCCUACUCACCCAAAGGCACUGUGAGAUAGCAUCAAAGGAACAGCUAGUAAGAGACACAGAGCCAGAAAUCAGGGAAGUAAAAUACACUUGACAUCUACGUUCGGAAAGAAAUUUUAGGAGGCAGAAGCAAAUGGAUCAGAAGCUGCUUAUAUUUUUGCAAGAUUACCAAAGAAACCAUUGGUGGAGAAAGUUCUGUGACCAACUUGUCUGAGUCUAGUAAGAUUGAACGCUCACACACAAGUUUCAUGAAGUGGGUUUGAUACUUACAGAUAAGCAGCAAGGACCAACAGAAGCUGAUGAUCUAUGGUGAACUUUUUCCCAAGGCUCCGGAAAGCUGCCUAAAGUAGAUGGAGUCUUCUCUGUGUGUGCCCCACUGGUCCUGCAGUUGAAGGAUCCGGUAAAGCAGCCUGCCCUUGGUUUUAUACUCCAGAGGAACGUGAUUCGCUGGACUAAAGCAUUGAAGUGCAUCCUGUUUCCGGGGGGCACUGGAACAGAGCCUGGUCUGUUCUAGCCAGUCCCUUUCUAUCUCAGGAUAACAUUCUACAGUUAUUCUUGAGAACUAUAAUCAAAUAAGCAGGGAGAACUGGAGGCUCAUUGUGGAACCCUCAAGGAGCAUGGGGUCGUCUUCAUCCCUCAGUUUAUAAAUGGCCAAGGAGAGUAAUGCAACAAAAACUUCUCAGAGUUAAAAGCCAGAGUUCCUAAAGAACCGUGGACAAAGGGUUCUGUCUAGUGGGCAGAAUUCAUCCAGCGAAGGUCUCCUAACUACAGAGGGUCACAUCUGGAUCUGAUGGCACCUACAGAACUUGGACUCUGAGCGACAAUCAGUGACCAGGAAAUUUGGAACCCAGGUUUUCCCAACCUACAUCUACAAAAUGGAAUGGGUCUGAUUCGCAAGUUUUCAGAGAAAGAAGCCAACCUUAAUCAGACUGUGAUAUGAUGAGGAAAUAAAACUUGCUGUGCUAAUCAA